RNAcentral lists this ribosomal RNA (301 nucleotides) under uncultured bacterium. RNAcentral's name for it is "partial 16S ribosomal RNA". It matches the Rfam family "Bacterial small subunit ribosomal RNA", at positions 509 to 807 of the family's 1533-position model. The record is from RNAcentral.
CAGUCGCCGCGGUAAUACGAAGGGGGCUAGCGUUGUUCGGAAUUACUGGGCGUAAAGCGCACGUAGGCGGACAUUUAAGUCAGGGGUGAAAUCCCGGGGCUCAACCCCGGAACUGCCUUUGAUACUGGGUGUCUUGAGUGUGGAAGAGGUCAGUGGAAUUGCGAGUGUAGAGGUGAAAUUCGUAGAUAUUCGCAGGAACACCAGUGGCGAAGGCGGCUGACUGGUCCACAACUGACGCUGAGGUGCGAAAGCGUGGGGAGCAAACAGGAUUAGAUACCCCCGUAGUCCCUGUCUCUUAUAC